Molecule: long non-coding RNA, 2713 nt
Organism: Photinus pyralis (common eastern firefly)
Lineage: Eukaryota; Metazoa; Arthropoda; Insecta; Coleoptera; Lampyridae
Exons: 3
Source: RefSeq, a predicted model, not a curated record
AGCAGCUUCAUUGCCUUCUUCUUCUUCUUCUUCUUCUUCUUCUUCUUCAGUGUCACUAUUACAUUGUUAAACAGCGAUGAUGAUGAUGCGGCCGUCAGGGAUGACAACGAGUACCAUGAUGCUGUAGGCUUGAGUUUUGUUGACUGUGGUGGUGGUGGUGGCAUUAUCCAUGGAUGGUUACAUAUUGAUGUGGGACGAAUUAUUUCAAAAUAUUCGUGAGGCUUUAUGUGUCUAGACCUAACAAAAUCGCAAACUUCAACUAGAAGCGAUGAAUUAUUGAACACAGGCGCCAGUUUAACAUAACUUUUUUCAAAAAUUUUAAUGUUAGUGUUUCACGCACAGUUGUUUUAUACAUAAUUUUUACUACCCGUUCUAACCACAAUCUUUGUAAAUAUUCUAAUAAAAUGUUCGGCGUGAUAAUAUGACCGUAUAUGUUUGAUGUUUCAAAAGAUUGUAAUUUAAACUUGUUUAAAAGUGUAAUUCCACAAAUUUGUUUUAAGCUCCUAGGUUGAUUUAAAAAAAUGAAUUUCGUAUAACCUGCACGUUCUUUUACAAAUUCAAAAUCUGUAGUAUAUGGCAGUAGCACAAUUUCCUCUUCUUGAUUUAUUUCGAUUGUUUGUCUAUGACCAUCAAUUGCAGAUAGAGUUAAUAAUACUUCAGCACCAUUCUCUGACAUUUUUAUAAACACUUCAACACACCCCACACACACGCAAAUAUAGAAGUCGUUAGAAGAGUUAAUUAUAUACUCUAACGCUUAUCAAUUUUUAUGUCACCGUGGUUUUCUGUUGACGCAAACGGAUGUCGCGGUUUCAUGUUAUCGCAAACGGAUGUCGCGGUUUUCUGUUGACGUCGGCGCGCGGUUUCAUGUUGACGUGCGAGGAUUCGAGAAAUUUGACAUUCAUCAAGGAAUGGUGCUGAGAAUAUAAAAUGUGAAAAUAUGGUCAGGUUAUUAGUUUUGAAGAUCUACUUUGAUUGUAAUCAGUCGUGUAAAUUACAAAAAAAUAAAUAAUAUGGAUUUCAACAAAAUUUUGAAGAACAUUAAUUCUGCCGGCAUGCUCCAAGAAAGGAAAGUUUUGAAAAUUGAGGAAAUGGAAAUUGGGAAACUAUAUACAAUUAAAAAACACAAAUCAAUAAUGAACCAUUAUGGAAGAGGAAUUGUCUGCGAGCUUGAGGAGGAUGGUAAUGUUUCCAUAUUUCUACCUCAACGAAUGGUGCGGGAAAUCGAUGAUGAUGAUGAUGAUGAUGCUCUUACAAUUUUGAAUGGUAAAUAUAAAAGAAUGGGGAUUGUUGUGCAUGGUUUACAUAAUGAUCUUCCAAAAAAAUUCAACUAGUACCAGUCGACUAGGAACGAGGAAGAGGUGGGGGAGGUUUCAAGUUUACAUUAAUUAUGGUUGCAUCGUAAUAAUAUAUGGCUUUCAAUCGUUUGUGUGAAAUUGAAAAUUACUGGGAUAAUGGGUAAAUCUUUAAAAUUAAGGUUGCACGAAUUAUGUGAAGCGCCGUUGAAGUUUCCGGUUCGAUAACAAUGUUCCAUAACUUUCCCAUCAUCAUCGUCAGUAGUUAAACAAGGAGAGUUCUGGCACAAUGUAAAUCUCCAUAAGCGCAAUGCUAAAGUAUGGGUUCAUUUCAGUGACAAAAACUCACUUUUUGGAUCGGUCUUGAUAGCGGUGUUUUUUUCGAGGUUUGAGGGGUUGUAUAUGUGUGUAGGGGUAGUGGAUGUGUUUUAGGGGGGUUGUGUGUUAAGGGGUAGUAGGUAAAAACAAAUUUCUAAUUUUAGAAUCAUGCUUAGUAACACAAAAGCGGCGUACUUGAUUGCGGUGUUUUUUUCGGGGUUGUAUAUGUGUGUAGGGGUAGUAGAUGUCUUUUAGGGGGGUUGUAGAUAAGGGGUAGGUAGGUAAAAACAAAUUUCUAAUUUUAGAAUCAUGCUUAGUAACACAAGCGGCGUACUUCAUAAAAUGUAUAACUUAGUAGUAGUCGUUUGCGGUUGAGAUUUAUUUUUAGAUGUUAUCUUAGUAACAUAGCGUUAGAAAUAAAACGUCUUGCGGUUCUGUUGAUAAGACAAACACAUGUGUUUGUGGUUUACUAUAAUCCUUCAAUGGUUGUAGUGUUAUCGAUGUAGUACAAUAUUUGUUGCAAGUUUUCGAUACAGAUUUCGAGAUUGUGGUCUACAGAUGGAAAAAUUUACAAUGUUGCUGAAGCAAAUAUUUAUAACAUUGAGGUUUUACAACAGAAAAAUAAAACGUUAUCAAAAUGAAAUAGGUAUUAAGAAAAAAUGUCAACUAUAAACGAAAUUACUGUGCCUAUGAAUAAAUGCGAGUGGCUCUUUUCAGUGAUUUGUCGGUAUGUACCAUCGGGAUAUACAGUGCUUUGCCCAUGUGCACAUAAUCUAGUCUACGAUGAGACCGAGCACAAUUUAUUGUUCUUAGAGCCAUUUUUUGGGGAUCAUUUUAUUUGGGUGUUUGAGACAAAAUGCAGGAGCUCAACAACAAUUUUUUGCAGGGUAGGACCGUAAGUAAGGUAACAAUUUUUUUGUUUCAAUAAUUAUGUUUGCUUUUAUUAUUACAGACGACGUAUGUCCACCCCAAGAAAUUGUUUUUGCUAAAUUGGAGGUUUUACCUACUGUUAUUUAAUAAAAAAUAUAUUUGAGUUAUCUUUUUUUAUUUUGUGACAUAUGUAUGUAUAUGAGACCUGUUUUAUUAUUACAGACGACGUAUGU